GUUGGCUUAGAAGCAGCCACCCUUUAAAGAAAGCGUAAUAGCUCACUAGUCGAGUCGGCCUGCGCGGAAGAUGUAACGGGGCUAAAACUAUAUGCCGAAGCUGCGGAUUUGCAAUUUAUUGCAAGUGGUAGGGGAGCGUUCUGUAAGCCGAUGAAGGUGUAUUGAGAAGUAUGCUGGAGGUAUCAGAAGUGCGAAUGCUGACGUGAGUAACGACAAUGCGAGUGAAAAGCUCGCACGCCGGAAGACCAAGGGUUCCAGUCCAACGUUAAUCGGGGCUGGGUGAGUCGACCCCUAAGGCGAGGCCGAAAGGCGUAGUCGAUGGGAAAUCGGUUAAUAUUCCGAUACUUGUUUAUGAUGCGAUGGAGGGACGGAGAAGGUUAUGCCAGCUUGGCGAUGGUUGUCCAAGUGGAAGGAUGUAGUUAGGUUUAGUAGGCAAAUCCGCUAG
This 445-nucleotide ribosomal RNA is filed under the name Heterosigma akashiwo. RNAcentral describes it as "partial Bacterial large subunit ribosomal RNA". It matches the Rfam family "Bacterial large subunit ribosomal RNA", at positions 1100 to 1548 of the family's 2925-position model. The record is from RNAcentral. Lineage: Eukaryota; Raphidophyceae; Chattonellales; Chattonellaceae.